AAGGAUAUAGCUCAGUGGUAGAGCACAUGCUUAGCAUACACAGGGUCCUGGGUUCAAUCCCCAGUACCCCCU
Molecule: transfer RNA, 72 nt
Filed under: Camelus bactrianus (Bactrian camel)
Lineage: Eukaryota; Metazoa; Chordata; Mammalia; Artiodactyla; Camelidae
Also listed under: 3 other names
Rfam family: tRNA
About the family: Transfer RNA (tRNA) molecules are approximately 80 nucleotides in length. Their secondary structure includes four short double-helical elements and three loops (D, anti-codon, and T loops).
Source: Rfam by way of RNAcentral